UCCCAGCCCACUCAGGUUACCUAAUCCUUUCUCUUGCCCAAAAACAAACACAUAACUGCCUUUCCCCAGCCCAGGCCCCCAGCAAACCCACGUGGAACUCAGAGGGUGAGAGGAAGAUGCCAUUCGUGGGAAGGUGGGUGGCAGCCACCCCCACCCACGCACAGCUAGGAACAGGAGUCUCAAAAUUCUUCCUCAGAAAUGGGUAACCUCAGGGCUGAAGCAGCAGGUCCAAAAGAGAUUUAGGGGUCAGGGCACCCUUCCUCCUGCCCUGACCCUAGAUCACAGCCAGGUCCCUGGGAGGGCACACAUGUUCGGGCCCCACUUCCUGUUCCCAUGGAAACCAGCAGGGCUGAGCUACCAAAGCAAGGUCCGCGCAGGCAGGGCCAGAGAGGCCCUGUCACCCCACAGCAGGUGGGAGCCAGCUCCCACUCCGACCCAGGUGGCCUGGACUCCUCGAGAUGGGCGGAGUCACCAAGGCCUGCAGAGGCCGUGCCCAUGCCCAAGGUCACAUCCAGCAAGAAACAGGACUGAGAUCAAUGCAGGCCUUUGCCAGACCAAAGGUCUCUGCGAUUCUGCUGUGAACUGCUUCUCCACCAAGGCCGUGUGACGGCGGGGGACCUAGAGAUGGCUCUGUGCCACCCAGCCUGGGACACAGCUGUUCAAUGCCCAGUGACCCAGUGCCACUACCUUCCAGCUUUGAUCUCAGGCCCAGCCCUUCUGGCAGCCCCUGUGGUCAUCCUGGGAAGCCGAGGCUCUGAGCUGCCCGUCUUGGCUGCCUGCCUCUCGCUCCGGCCCCAUUUGCACCGACGACUGCCUGGCUGGCCUCGCAGGGAUUGUGCCAUCAGCCAAGUUGGAAGAGACAGCCAUGCCAGUGAUUUGGGGUAUUCUAAAGAAACCCAUGCACAGCCCAAGGCUGACUCCAGAACGGGAGCAACAGGAGAAGGAGGCAGUGAGGAGGCUUCCCCAGGGAGCCCCUCAGGCUUCUAAGGGCCCUGCAGAGCAGGAGGCCCUGACUGCAAUAGGAGGCCUCGUGGUGGUGGCCCGAGGAUAUGGGCUGUCUGGAGAGCACACAGGUGACAACCCCAGCCCAAGAGGCAGGGCAGGCAGCCCAGUCUGUGCUGAGAAAUACCAGCUGCUGUGCCCAGCUCAGCCAAGAGCGCAGCCCGUUUGCUCCCUACGGGGGCGGUGCACUUUCCUUCUGAGCGCACCGCCCCUGUUGCCCUGUGCUGGACCUUCCCCUAGGACCCCACCAGCUCUCAGCCCUGCUUGGAAAAGCACCUGCAUUGCAGGACAUCCUGGUGCCUCAGGAGGACUGUCUCUGAGGGGUUGGAGGCUGUAUGGCCAGGCCCUGGGGUCUCUGUAUGGUAUUCAGCAGUGUCACAUCUCAAGCCCAGGCCAGGACAACGCCACAGAGGACAGAAGCAGGGGCAGAGGCCUUCCUGCUGGCCAGCUACCCAUCUGAAGGUGACCAGCACUGGAGUGAGGCAGGAAUGGGCAGGCUGCACCUCAGAGGGAGGGACCCCUGGGGUCUCACCCUCAGGCCACUCACAGAGGCUGAAAGGUCCAGGCCGAAGGAUCCUCCCACCCCACCUGGCUCUGACAGCACAGCUGCACUGGGGCUGUGCAAGUGGACAGAUUUUUUUGUGCAUGCCAUGUCCUGGUCUCAGCUGGCACAUCUGUCUCCUGGCUGUUUGCUGUGAUGGGCCAGGUACCCAGUGGGUUCUCUUGGGACCUUGUAUCACUGUCUUGUCCUCCAUCACAUAUCAGCUGUCCCAAUGACUUUCCUCAGCUCUAAGACACCCUGCUCUAUUGUGUCCACAGUAUGCAGGCAGAGGAUUGAGAUCCUGCCCUUGUGUUGUGUAAGAGGUGCUCGAAUCCAGUUUUACAUAUGAUAGA
Long non-coding RNA from Cavia porcellus (domestic guinea pig), 1896 nucleotides. RefSeq lists it as uncharacterized. The record is from RefSeq and is a predicted model, not a curated record. NCBI's taxonomy places the organism in Eukaryota, Metazoa, Chordata, Mammalia, Rodentia, Caviidae. The transcript is spliced from 2 exons.